This 2376-nucleotide ribosomal RNA is filed under the name Clostridioides difficile. Its description in RNAcentral is "partial 23S ribosomal RNA". It matches the Rfam family "Bacterial large subunit ribosomal RNA", at positions 306 to 2703 of the family's 2925-position model. Lineage: Bacteria; Bacillati; Bacillota; Clostridia; Peptostreptococcales; Peptostreptococcaceae. The record is from RNAcentral.
AUAUCAUAACGAAGAGGUAUCGUAAUUGAAGAGGUUUGGAAAGACCCACCACAGAAGGUAAUAGUCCUGUAUGUUAAACGAGAAGACUUUAGAUAUGAUCCAGAGUACCACGGGACACGUGAAACCCUGUGGGAAGCAGGAGGGACCACCCUCCAAGGCUAAAUACUACCUAGUGACCGAUAGCGUAUAGUACCGUGAGGGAAAGGUGAAAAGAACCCCGGGAGGGGAGUGAAAUAGAACCUGAAACCCUGCACUUACAAGCUGUGGAAGCACAUUUCUUGUGUGACCGCGUACUUUUUGUAGAACGGGCCAACGAGUUACGUUAAGUAGCAAGGUUAAGCACUUAAGGUGCGGAGCCGUAGCGAAAGCGAGUUUUAACUGAGCGUUCAGUUACUUGACGUAGACCCGAAACCGGGCGACCUACCCAUGAGCAGGAUGAAGCGAAAGUAAAAUUUCGUGGAGGUCCGAACCCACGAGCGUUGAAAAGCUCGGGGAUGACUUGUGGGUAGCGGUGAAAUUCCAAUCGAGCCCGGAGAUAGCUGGUUCUCCCCGAAAUAGCUUUAGGGCUAGCCUCAAGGUGAGAGAUACGGAGGUAGAGCACUGAAUGUCCUAGGGGGUAUUGCACCUACCGAAGACUAUCAAACUCCGAAUGCCGUCAUCUUAUACUUGGGAGUCAGACUGUGGGUGAUAAGAUUCAUAGUCGAAAGGGCAACAGCCCAGAUCGUCAGCUAAGGUCCCUAAAUGUAAGUUAAGUGGUAAAGGAUGUGGGAUUGCACAGACAACCAGGAUGUUGGCUUAGAAGCAGCCACUCAUUCAAAGAGUGCGUAAUAGCUCACUGGUCGAGUGAUCCUGCGCCGAAGAUUUCCGGGGCUAAAACUUACUACCGAAGCUACGGCAUCAGUAAUGAUGGGUAGGGGAGCUUCCCAUACGGGUUGAAGCAUGACCGUAAGGACAUGUGGACAGUAUGGGAGUGAGAAUGUUGGCAUGAGUAGCGAGAUGUGGGUGAGAAUCCCACAGGCCGUAAACCCAAGGUUUCCAGGGGAAGGUUCGUCCGCCCUGGGUUAGUCGGGACCUAAGCUGAGGCCGAAAGGCGUAGGUGAUGGACAACAGGUUGAUAUUCCUGUACUACCGAUAACCGUUUGAGAGAAGGGAUGACACAGUAGGAUAAGCUAAGCACACUGUUGGUUAUGUGUGCCCAAGCAUUGAGGCAGUCAAAGUAGGCAAAUCCGCUUUGAUAAUGCUGGGAUGUGAUGGGGAGCGAAAUUUAGUAGCGAAGUAGCUGAUUUCACACUGUCAAGAAAAGUCUCUAUCGAGGUUAAAGGUACCCGUACCGCAAACCGACACAGGUGGGUGAGGAGAGUAUCCUAAGGCCAGCGAGAGAACUGUUGUUAAGGAACUCGGCAAAAUGACCCCGUAACUUAGGGAUAAGGGGUGCCACCAUCAGGUGGCCGCAGAGAAUAGGCCCAAGCGACUGUUUACCAAAAACAUAGGUUUCUGCUAAGUCGCAAGACGAUGUAUAGGAGCUGACGCCUGCCCGGUGCUGGAAGGUUAAGGGGAUCUGUUAGAGCAAUCGAAGCAGUGAACUUAAGCCCCAGUAAACGGCGGCCGUAACUAUAACGGUCCUAAGGUAGCGAAAUUCCUUGUCGGGUAAGUUCCGACCCGCACGAAAGGCGUAACGAUUUGGGCACUGUCUCAACAACAGACUCGGUGAAAUUGUAAUUCCGGUGAAGAUGCCGGAUACCUGCGACAGGACGGAAAGACCCCAUGGAGCUUUACUGUAGCUUGACAUUGGGUCUUGGUACUACAUGUACAGGAUAGGUGGGAGGCUUUGAAACCAGGACGCCAGUUUUGGCGGAGCCAUCCUUGGGAUACCACCCUUGUAGUACUGGGACUCUAACCAUAGGCCAUGAAUCUGGUCUUGGGACACUGUCAGGUGGGCAGUUUGACUGGGGCGGUCGCCUCCCAAAAGGUAACGGAGGCGCUCAAAGGUUCUCUCAGUACGGUCGGAAAUCGUACGUAGAGUGUAAAGGCAAAAGAGAGCUUGAUUGCAAGACAUACAGGUCGAGCAAGGAUGAAAAUCGGACUUAGUGAUCCGGUGGUUCUGCGUGGAAGGGCCAUCGCUCAACGGAUAAAAGCUACCCUGGGGAUAACAGGCUUAUCUCCCCCAAGAGUCCACAUCGACGGGGAGGUUUGGCACCUCGAUGUCGGCUCAUCACAUCCUGGGGCUGUAGUAGGUCCCAAGGGUUGGGCUGUUCGCCCAUUAAAGUGGUACGCGAGCUGGGUUCAGAACGUCGUGAGACAGUUCGGUCCCUAUCCGUCGCAGGCGUAGGAAAUUUGAGAAGACCUGUCCUUAGUACGAGAGGACCGGGAUGGACG